GCCUUCAUGGCUCAGCUGGCAGAGCGUCUGCCUAGUAAGCAGAAGGUCAUGAGUUCGAUUCUCAUUGAAGGCA
RNAcentral lists this transfer RNA (73 nucleotides) under Hesseltinella vesiculosa. It matches the Rfam family "tRNA". From Rfam's summary of the family: Transfer RNA (tRNA) molecules are approximately 80 nucleotides in length. Lineage: Eukaryota; Fungi; Mucoromycota; Mucoromycetes; Mucorales; Cunninghamellaceae. The record is from Rfam by way of RNAcentral.